RNAcentral lists this ribosomal RNA (370 nucleotides) under uncultured bacterium. RNAcentral's name for it is "bacterial SSU rRNA". It matches the Rfam family "Bacterial small subunit ribosomal RNA", at positions 525 to 896 of the family's 1533-position model. The record is from RNAcentral.
ACGUAGGUGGCGAGCGUUAUCCGGAUUUAUUGGGUUUAAAGGGUGCGUAGGCGGCUUUUUAAGUCGGUGGUUAAAGGUAGCAGCUCAACUGUUUUACAUGCUGCCGAUACUGAAGAGCUUGAGUUAUUGGAAGGCAGAUGGAAUUCCUGGUGUAGCGGUGAAAUGCAUAGAUACCAGGAGGAACACCGAUUGCGAAGGCAUUCUGCUGCAAAUAUACUGACGCUGAGGCACGAAAGCGUGGGGAUCAAACAGGAUUAGAUACCCUGGUAGUCCACGCCGUAAACGAUGAUUACUAGUUGUUGGGCUUCAUUGCUCAGUGAUCAAGGGAAACCGAUAAGUAAUCCACCUGGGGAGUACGCCGGCAACGGUG